RNAcentral lists this ribosomal RNA (253 nucleotides) under uncultured bacterium. Its description in RNAcentral is "partial 16S ribosomal RNA". It matches the Rfam family "Bacterial small subunit ribosomal RNA", at positions 524 to 776 of the family's 1533-position model. The record is from RNAcentral.
UACGUAGGGUGCAAGCGUUGUCCGGAAUUAUUGGGCGUAAAGAGCUCGUAGGUGGCCUGUCGCGUCGGCUGUGAAAACCCGGGGCUCAACCCCGGGCCUGCAGUCGAUACGGGCAGGCUAGAGUUCGGCAGGGGAGACUGGAAUUCCUGGUGUAGCGGUGAAAUGCGCAGAUAUCAGGAAGAACACCCGUGGCUAAGGCGGCUCUCUAGUACGGUACUGACGCUGAGACGCGAAAGCGUGGGGAGCGAACAGG